RNAcentral lists this ribosomal RNA (497 nucleotides) under uncultured bacterium. RNAcentral describes it as "partial 16S ribosomal RNA". It matches the Rfam family "Bacterial small subunit ribosomal RNA", at positions 28 to 507 of the family's 1533-position model. The record is from RNAcentral.
GAUGAACGCUGGCGGCGUGCCUAAUACAUGCAAGUCGAGCGGACGGACGAGAAGCUUGCUCCUCUGCUGUUAGCGGCGGACGGGCGAGUAACACGUGGAUAACCUACCUAUAUGACUGGGAUAACUACGGGAAACAGGAGAUACUACUGGAUCAUAUUUUGAACCGCAUGGUUCAAAAGUGAUAGACGGUCUUGCUGUCACUAAUAGCUGGAUCCGCGCUGCAUUAGCUAGUUGGUAAGGUAACGGCUAACCAAGGCAACGAUGCAUAGCCGACCUGAGAGGGUGAUCGGCCACACUGGAACUGAGACACGGUCCAGACUCCUACGGGAGGCAGCAGUAGGGAAUCUUCCGCAAUGGGCGAAAGCCUGACCGAGCAACGCCGCGUGAGUGAUGAAGGUCUUCGGAUCGUAAAGCUCUGUUAUUAGGAAAGAACAUAUGUGUAAGUAACUGUGCACAUCUUGACGGUACCUAAUCAGAAAGCCCCGGCUAACUUCGUG